GCAUGACACAAUGAUGAGUGCAUAGUUCAGCAGAUUUACCGUGAAGAAUAUCACUUCUUUCGCUCCUAUCUGAUGUCAGUC
Molecule: small nucleolar RNA, 81 nt
Organism: Nothobranchius furzeri (turquoise killifish)
Lineage: Eukaryota; Metazoa; Chordata; Actinopteri; Cyprinodontiformes; Nothobranchiidae
Source: Ensembl